GCUUUUAUAUAGGCACUGGCUUCCUCUUCUGAAAGCUGUCCUCCUUCCACCAGGCCUUGUAUUAAGGUGUUGGCAUAUUCGUUGCAAGGGGCACACAAGGGAAGUUUCUUCGAUUUGAAGCUCUCAACAUCUGAAAGUGAGCAGGUAAUAGUCAGUAUAGGAAUAUCUUUCUCCUUUCCCAAGUACACUACAUUAUGGUACCACCCCUUC
RNAcentral lists this unclassified non-coding RNA (210 nucleotides) under Hevea brasiliensis (rubber tree). The record is from RNAcentral. Lineage: Eukaryota; Viridiplantae; Streptophyta; Magnoliopsida; Malpighiales; Euphorbiaceae.